UACGUAGGGUGCAAGCGUUAAUCGGAAUUACUGGGCGUAAAGCGUGCGCAGGCGGUUAUGUAAGACAGGUGUGAAAUCCCCGGGCUUAACCUGGGAACUGCAUUUGUGACUGCAUAGCUAGAGUACGGUAGAGGGGGAUGGAAUUCCGCGUGUAGCAGUGAAAUGCGUAGAUAUGCGGAGGAACACCAAUGGCGAAGGCAAUCCCCUGGACCUGUACUGACGCUCAUGCACGAAAGCGUGGGGAGCAAACAGG
RNAcentral lists this ribosomal RNA (253 nucleotides) under uncultured bacterium. RNAcentral describes it as "partial 16S ribosomal RNA". It matches the Rfam family "Bacterial small subunit ribosomal RNA", at positions 524 to 776 of the family's 1533-position model. The record is from RNAcentral.